ACACACAAGGUCUUCAGAUGAUAGGAACAGCUCAUGCUGAAUUUCAUGAACUGAUUAAUUACAACCGCAUCAUACGCCAUAUGUAUUCAAAAAUACGAUUUUUUUUAACAGAUUGGAUUCUAAUUGUUUUACCCUGGAAUUUACCACCACCCAGUUAUAGAAUUCAGAUUACCAUACCAGACACAUCAUCCCAGGGAAUCUAAAGUGUCAUUUCCUCUCUGGAAGAAAGGAAGCACAAAACAUGCUAGGACAAAAUUGGAGAAACUGAUUAUUUUACCCAGGCUUUGACUGGAAUGGCAUGAUUCCUUUAAAAAAUUCAAGCUUGACUUAUACAGCCAAUUAAGCCCUGUUGGGGAAUCUGGUCUCAUACCUUGUCCACACAGAGUCCUUGUACAAGUUUCCCGACCUGUGAAAGAAGAAAGAGCUUUAACAGACAUUUGAUAAUGAAUUGUUACUUCUUACUCAUGUUUAUAUAUAAACUCUUGACUGUCAAUGCUAUAAAAGACAAUUCAAAAGGAAGAAAUGCAGUUAUAUUGAAACACCAUUCAAAACAUCACAACAAGAAAUGCAGUCUACUAUAAACUGGCAGAGAAGCAGGAUUCAGGUGAAGGAGACCUCAGGGGACCAGGGACCAGCUGAAGGACGUUUGCCUUGUUCAAGAUGCAGUUUCCAAAGUCAUCAUCAUUGUUCCCAUCCAAGCUAGCCAAAAGAGAAGAAGAAUAUGGAGAGAUAUAUGUGAGAGAAUUUUGGGA
RNAcentral lists this long non-coding RNA (752 nucleotides) under Homo sapiens (human). RNAcentral's name for it is "HSALNT0090847". The record is from RNAcentral. Lineage: Eukaryota; Metazoa; Chordata; Mammalia; Primates; Hominidae.